AAUAUUGGACAAUGGGCGCAAGCCUGAUCCAGCCAUGCCGCGUGAGUGAUGAAGGNCUNNGGGUUNUNAAGCUCUUUCAGUGGNNNNNAUAAUGACGGUCCCCACAGAAGAAGCCCCGGCUAACUCCGUGCCAGUAGCCGCGGCCAUACGAACGGGGCUAGCGUUGUUCGGAUUUACUGGGCGUAAAGCGCACGUAGGCGGUUUGUUAAGUCAGAGGUGAAAUCCCGGAGCUCAACUCCGGAACUGCCUUUGAUACUGGCAAGCUAGAGUCCGGAAGAGGUGAGUGGAACUCCUAGUGUAGAGGUGGAAUUCGUAGAUAUUAGGAAGAACACCAGUGGCGAAGGCGGCUCACUGGUCCGGUACUGACGCUGAGGUGCGAAAGCGUGGGGAGCAAACAG
This 398-nucleotide ribosomal RNA is filed under the name uncultured bacterium. RNAcentral's name for it is "partial 16S ribosomal RNA". It matches the Rfam family "Bacterial small subunit ribosomal RNA", at positions 360 to 775 of the family's 1533-position model. The record is from RNAcentral.